Molecule: long non-coding RNA, 794 nt
Organism: Dioscorea cayenensis subsp. rotundata (Guinea yam)
Lineage: Eukaryota; Viridiplantae; Streptophyta; Magnoliopsida; Dioscoreales; Dioscoreaceae
Exons: 3
Source: RefSeq, a predicted model, not a curated record
AAGGUGAGAGAUCUUAGUAGGGCAGGUUGGGAUGACGCCACGAAGACCAUCACACUUGAUCCUAUGGUUGCCCUGACUUACAUCGAGGUUAUGGUAUAAUGGCAAUGAUGAAAGGCAAGUGUGACAUUGCACUGAGGCACACGCGUUUAUGGGACAAAAACCAGAUUGGGGCGCUGGCGGGGCAAAAUGACUGGUAGUUCCUUGCCAAUCUUUUGCAGCCAUUGCGUAUCUCAUUUGGUAAUUGGUUCCCUAUGUAUUUUCCCGUUUCUAAAUGUAUGGAUGUAUUUGUUUAUAUGAGUGUGGCGAGGCAAUUAGGAGGCACUUGCUGCCACCAUUGCAGCCACCUUGUAUAGUUUGUAGUCGCUUCGGUUGUUUUUACAUAAACUAUAAUGCCAAUGAAUGUGCAUAAUGUCACUCUUGCUAUUACCUGAGCCAUGCCAAGAAGACAGGACUUGCUACGGACACAAGGCAGACAUGAUCUGAUUUAUGAGGCAUGUGGAUGGAUUCCAUUGAGAUACUACAAAUACAGUUGUUCAGACAAAACAAUGUUGGGGUCUUCUAUUCAAAAAUCUGAGGCUGGAAAACUGGGUUCACAGUGCUUUUAUUGUUGUCGCAAAACUUUUGAAAUCAAGACAUUGCUGGGUGCAUGUAUUGAUAGAUACAAAUUGUUAUGUUUGUAUGUUUUCAUUCACCAUCUGUUUGGUAAGUAUUUGAACAAAUGAUAGAUCAUGCUGAAUUUGUAUGGCUUCUUAGUGAAGUAUGUAUGUUCCGAAUUUCGUAUUUUCUUAAUUUGA